RNAcentral lists this ribosomal RNA (402 nucleotides) under uncultured bacterium. Its description in RNAcentral is "bacterial SSU rRNA". It matches the Rfam family "Bacterial small subunit ribosomal RNA", at positions 355 to 774 of the family's 1533-position model. The record is from RNAcentral.
UGGGGAAUCUUGCACAAUGGGGGCAACCCUGAUGCAGCGACGCCGCGUGAGCGAUGAAGCCCUUCGGGGCGUAAAGCUCUUUCGACCGGAACGAUAAUGACGGUACCGGGAGAAGAAGCUGCGGCUAACUACGUGCCAGCAGCCGCGGUAAUACGUAGGCAGCAAGCGUUGUUCGGAGUUACUGGGCGUAAAGAGUGCGUAGGUGGUUUUCUAAGUUCGGUGUGAAAUCUCCCGGCUUAACUGGGAGGGUGCGCCGAAGACUGGGAAGCUGGAGUGUGGGAAAGGCAGGCGGAAUUCCUGGUGUAGCGGUGAAAUGCGUAGAUAUCAGGAGGAACACCGGCGGUGUAGACGGCUUGCUAGACCAUAACUGACGCUGAGGCACGAAAGCGUGGGUAGCAAACA